GGAUGGGCGCAUGCGCGUUCCCAGCAGCCUUUGCGCCUCCCGCGCCUCUGAGCAGACGGGUGGAGGAGAGGCAAGUGGUUGUUAGGGAGAGUUCUGCCGCGUCCUCUUCAGCGCUGCUGGAGAAGCAGCGUCUCGGCCCCUGUGCAGGGAAGCGCCCUGCGUACCACUACGCUAAUAAGUCGGCGCCGCGAGGGCAAAAGGCUGCUAUUCUUGCCGUCUGGUCCUUCCCCUUUAACCGCGAAGGAAUCACGCGAGAGGCUACUCAACGCACACCAUAGAUUUGAAGGCAAGGACCUCCACUGUGGUAAUCUUGGAACCAAACCUGUACUACCUCUGAGGUCAUCUCAAUUCAGACUCCCCACAUGCAAGUGCUCAAUAGCCACAUGGUGAGUAGCUACAGUAGAGGACAGUACAGGUCUAUACUCUGUUGACUUCCUCUUCUAUUCACUGUU
Long non-coding RNA from Myotis brandtii (Brandt's bat), 452 nucleotides. RefSeq lists it as uncharacterized. The record is from RefSeq and is a predicted model, not a curated record. The transcript has 3 exons. NCBI's taxonomy places the organism in Eukaryota, Metazoa, Chordata, Mammalia, Chiroptera, Vespertilionidae.